This 367-nucleotide transfer-messenger RNA is filed under the name Blastocatellia. RNAcentral's name for it is "Chloracidobacterium sp002254845 Standard tmRNA". It matches the Rfam family "transfer-messenger RNA". From Rfam's summary of the family: Bacterial tmRNA, also known as 10Sa RNA or SsrA, is named for its dual tRNA and mRNA-like properties. Its role is to liberate the mRNA from a stalled ribosome. To accomplish this part of the tmRNA is used as a reading frame that ends in a translation stop signal. RNAcentral also lists the same sequence under 2 other names. The record is from RNAcentral. Lineage: Bacteria; Pseudomonadati; Acidobacteriota.
GGGGAUGUCACGGUUUCGACGUGGACAUUGUGAGGCGCGCGCGAGGCGCGCCGGGCGCCCAUGCCGCUCGUUAGAAAGCGUGGAAACAAUCACCUGCCGAAACGCAGGAACUCGCUCUCGCAGCCUAAUAACUGCUGAGCCGUCCGCUCAUUCGGUCGCCUGUGCCGGAGAAGCGGGCGUGACGUUCACAGGCUGGCGGCCACGCUGCGCCUAGGGCGCGGCCGCGAGACCUUGCUGGGCUGGCGCUUGCGCCGCUCAAGGUCGCUGCUCCGGCAGCGCAAGCGCGAGAACAAGGGAAGCGACUACGCGCGUAGUCUCCGGCGCCAAAGGUCUGCGGACGAGGGUUCGACUCCCUCCAUCUCCACCA